This 844-nucleotide ribosomal RNA is filed under the name Staphylococcus aureus. RNAcentral describes it as "partial 23S ribosomal RNA". It matches the Rfam family "Bacterial large subunit ribosomal RNA", at positions 1 to 841 of the family's 2925-position model. The record is from RNAcentral. Lineage: Bacteria; Bacillati; Bacillota; Bacilli; Caryophanales; Staphylococcaceae.
AGAUUAAGUUAUUAAGGGCGCACGGUGGAUGCCUUGGCACUAGAAGCCGAUGAAGGACGUUACUAACGACGAUAUGCUUUGGGGAGCUGUAAGUAAGCUUUGAUCCAGAGAUUUCCGAAUGGGGAAACCCAGCAUGAGUUAUGUCAUGUUAUCGAUAUGUGAAUACAUAGCAUAUCAGAAGGCACACCCGGAGAACUGAAACAUCUUAGUACCCGGAGGAAGAGAAAGAAAAUUCGAUUCCCUUAGUAGCGGCGAGCGAAACGGGAAGAGCCCAAACCAACAAGCUUGCUUGUUGGGGUUGUAGGACACUCUAUACGGAGUUACAAAGGACGACAUUAGACGAAUCAUCUGGAAAGAUGAAUCAAAGAAGGUAAUAAUCCUGUAGUCGAAAAUGUUGUCUCUCUUGAGUGGAUCCUGAGUACGGCGGGACACGUGAAAUCCCGUCGGAAUCUGGGAGGACCAUCUCCUAAGGCUAAAUACUCUCUAGUGACCGAUAGUGAACCAGUACCGUGAGGGAAAGGUGAAAAGCACCCCGGAAGGGGAGUGAAAUAGAACCUGAAACCGUGUGCUUACAAGUAGUCAGAGCCCGUUAAUGGGUGAUGGCGUGCCUUUUGUAGAAUGAACCGGCGAGUUACGAUUUGAUGCAAGGUUAAGCAGUAAAUGUGGAGCCGUAGCGAAAGCGAGUCUGAAUAGGGCGUUUAGUAUUUGGUCGUAGACCCGAAACCAGGUGAUCUACCCUUGGUCAGGUUGAAGUUCAGGUAACACUGAAUGGAGGACCGAACCGACUUACGUUGAAAAGUGAGCGGAUGAACUGAGGGUAGCGGAGAAAUUCCAAUCGAACCUG